UACGUAGGGUGCAAGCGUUAAUCGGAAUUACUGGGCGUAAAGCGUGCGCAGGCGGUUGUGCAAGACCGAUGUGAAAUCCCCCGGGCUCAACCUGGGAAUGGCAUUGGUGACUGUACGGCUAGAGUGUGUCAGAGGGGGGUAGAAUUCCACGUGUAGCAGUGAAAUGCGUAGAUAUGUGGAGGAAUACCGAUGGCGAAGGCAGCUCGCUGGGGACGGUACUGACGCUGAGACGCGAAAAGCGUGGGGGAGCAAACAGG
RNAcentral lists this ribosomal RNA (257 nucleotides) under uncultured bacterium. RNAcentral describes it as "partial 16S ribosomal RNA". It matches the Rfam family "Bacterial small subunit ribosomal RNA", at positions 524 to 776 of the family's 1533-position model. The record is from RNAcentral.